RNAcentral lists this long non-coding RNA (866 nucleotides) under Gossypium barbadense (sea-island cotton). Its description in RNAcentral is "long non-coding RNA (GBAR_LNC007228)". The record is from RNAcentral. Lineage: Eukaryota; Viridiplantae; Streptophyta; Magnoliopsida; Malvales; Malvaceae.
CAUUAUCAUGCACACACAUUUAUAUAUCAUAACACAUUAGCAUUUCAUUUACAUUAUUUGAACACAAGCACAACAUGCUUAUCAACCAUUCCACUUUCGGCUCAAUAGCCACAUACAAAGAACACGAUUUCGUUUCGCUAUCCAACAUGAUUUCUAUAACCAUUCGGCUACAAGUCAUAUGCACAAAUUAUUUAUCCCACUACGUAAUUCAAGUAGAACCAAUAGGUCACAAUUUAUUUAUUAUGCUUAUAUACCAUGAUUUUAUCAAAUCAUAAGCUAAGUUUCAUUACUCAAAGACUUACCUUGACUGUCGUCGAAUGACUACGGAUAUGCUAUUUGGUUAGUUUAGCUUUUUCCCUUAUCCGAAUUAGGCUCCUUAAGCUCUUGAGCUAGAUUAAACAAAUUCACUUGUCACUAAUUCAUUAAUCAUGCCUUUUAUUCGGUUAUAUUAAUAAUUUAAAACACAACAUCACCAAGCUAUUACUCACAUUCACGUUCGGCAAGGACCAAUUAAUAAACCUUAAAUUCAAAAUAACUUCAAUCUUAUGAUUUUACAAUUAUCUUAUACUUUCACAUAUAACUUAUUUAUGGCUGCAUAUAUAUAUUAUCAAAGUAUCUUUCGGUUCCAAAACUCAAUCAUUAAAACACGUGCAUGUACACACAUAAACAUAUACUUAUGAAUUAAAAUAUAAUUUCUUAUGCAUAAGCAUAGCAAUGACCGCAUAAACACUCAUAUAUAUAUACAAUAGAUGCAUUAACAAUUUAUCAUUCAAUGACUAAGCCAAAACAUCUUUAUCAUAUCAUUUACACUUUUGCUUACAAGUAUAUACUCUUAAAUCAAGGUAUAACAAUCACACGUGUAUAUU